CCUUUGCUGUGAUGAAUCACAAGGCCGACCGGUAUCUGAGUAAGUAGCCUCUUGAAAAGGACUCCUUCCUUGAUUGUACACCCUAAACUGAUUAUAUAUUAUUCUGAGCAGACA
This 114-nucleotide small nucleolar RNA is filed under the name Triticum aestivum (bread wheat). RNAcentral's name for it is "Small nucleolar RNA Z118/Z121/Z120". It matches the Rfam family "Small nucleolar RNA Z118/Z121/Z120". From Rfam's summary of the family: This family consists of several snoRNA Z118, Z121 and Z120 sequences which are members of the C/D class of snoRNA which contain the C (UGAUGA) and D (CUGA) box motifs. This family seems to be found exclusively in rice. Lineage: Eukaryota; Viridiplantae; Streptophyta; Magnoliopsida; Poales; Poaceae. The record is from Rfam by way of RNAcentral.